UUUGACUCUUUUUUUUGUGGUAAUUAUGAGUAUUUCCCUAAAAAAAAAUCCCCAACACAGAUUAACUGAAGUUAAACGUGUGGAGAAAAAAGAGGUCUCUUCCUGUAAUGACAUCAAAGCUGGUAGAUUCACAUUUACUGGAGGAACUGAGCAGAAACCGUCUACCCAAAGACCCCCGUAAUCAAAAACAGGAAGUAAAGCCAACCACAUGCGACUUUCUGUAAAAUUCAGAACGCAGCCAGGCUUUACUGAAGGGGAUCAUUUCUCAGGUGCCCGACAUGAAACUUUUCAGCUAUAAAGUCCUUUUUUAUGUUUUGAUCCUAGUGGUACUCGGAGGCACUCAGGAUGACAACAAGAAGCUGACCAAUCUGGACAUGUUCAAACAUUUCAUGUUCCGCAUUAUGGUCAUUAAGAUUUUUGUCACCAUUGUCUUACUUACAUACUUCCUGAAAUCCCGUCCUGUGAUCACAGGUAGGAGUCUAGAUCUAAAAAUACAGGUGGCUGAUUACCAUGAUCUGAGAGCUGUAAUUCAUUGAACUUUGUAUCCGUUCUGCAGAAAAAGGCCAGAGAAGUGAGGAUUAUGGUUCUUCCCAUCACAUCUAUGAAAAUGAACUGAGUAGAACUGAACUGAACUCGUAGAGCUUUUAUAGAACAACUGCUUGCUUUUGUGUUCUUGAACUACUGUAAGGCAAACUGCAAAGAUGUGAAAGUGAAAGUGUGAGGCAGCUUUUGUUUACGAUACAAAGAAUAGUGAGACAGAGGACAGGUAAUAGUCAUGUUUCCUGUACAGGUAACACAUCUGCACACAUCCUGUAUAAAGUUUACGUUCAAGAGGGACUGUCUAGACUACAGAGUACUGUGUUCUCAUCUUCCUGUCUUUUAUUUAUUUAUGAUUAAAUAAGCUUCUCUUCUUAGGUAAAUGUAUGUUUUGAAAGGAGACUAACUUCACCCGUCAUAACUGUUUUUAUUGUACCCAAAGUAUUAGUUGUACAUUCUGAAAACUUUGAAAUAGACAGCCAUAUUGUGACUUAUCAUUUGUAUUUGUGUUUCACAAAGACUUAUUCACGAUUAGAGUCUCAGAUUGACAUAAUCUGUUUGUUUUUAAUGAAUAAAUUUGAUUAAUCUUA
Long non-coding RNA from Poecilia latipinna (sailfin molly), 1127 nucleotides. RefSeq lists it as uncharacterized. NCBI's taxonomy places the organism in Eukaryota, Metazoa, Chordata, Actinopteri, Cyprinodontiformes, Poeciliidae. The transcript is spliced from 2 exons. The record is from RefSeq and is a predicted model, not a curated record.